UACGGGGGGGGCAAGCGUUAUCCGGAAUUAUUGGGCGUAAAGAGCUCGUAGGCGGUUUGUCGCGUCUGCCGUGAAAGUCCGGGGCUCAACUCCGGAUCUGCGGUGGGUACGGGCAGACUAGAGUGAUGUAGGGGAGACUGGAAUUCCUGGUGUAGCGGUGAAACGCGCAGAUAUCAGGAGGAACACCGAUGGCGAAGGCAGGUCUCUGGGCAUUAACUGACGCUGAGGAGCGAAAGCAUGGGGAGCGAACAGG
Molecule: ribosomal RNA, 253 nt
Filed under: uncultured bacterium
Lineage: Bacteria
Description: partial 16S ribosomal RNA
Rfam family: Bacterial small subunit ribosomal RNA
Source: RNAcentral